RNAcentral lists this ribosomal RNA (265 nucleotides) under uncultured Mesorhizobium sp. RNAcentral's name for it is "partial 16S ribosomal RNA". It matches the Rfam family "Bacterial small subunit ribosomal RNA", at positions 1117 to 1382 of the family's 1533-position model. Lineage: Bacteria; Pseudomonadati; Pseudomonadota; Alphaproteobacteria; Hyphomicrobiales; Phyllobacteriaceae. The record is from RNAcentral.
GCCAUCAUUCAGUUGGGCACUCUAAGGGGACGUGCCGGUGAUAAGCCGACGAGAAGGUGGGGGAUGACGUCAAGUCCUCAUGGCCCUUACGGGCUGGGCUACACACGUGCUACAAUGGUGGUGACAUGGGCAGCGAGACCGCGAGGUCGAGCUAAUCUCCAAAAGCCAUCUCAGUUCGGAUUGCACUCUGCAACUCGAGUGCAUGAAGUUGGAAUCGCUAGUAAUCGCGGAUCAGCAUGCCGCGGUGAAUACGUUCCCGGGCCUU